AGAAAAGCCAAAAAAAA
RNAcentral lists this small RNA (17 nucleotides) under Arabidopsis thaliana (thale cress). Its description in RNAcentral is "ATSL243890". The record is from RNAcentral. Lineage: Eukaryota; Viridiplantae; Streptophyta; Magnoliopsida; Brassicales; Brassicaceae.